This 618-nucleotide ribosomal RNA is filed under the name Pseudomonas sp. RNAcentral describes it as "bacterial SSU rRNA". It matches the Rfam family "Bacterial small subunit ribosomal RNA", at positions 55 to 669 of the family's 1533-position model. Lineage: Bacteria; Pseudomonadati; Pseudomonadota; Gammaproteobacteria; Pseudomonadales; Pseudomonadaceae. The record is from RNAcentral.
AUGCAGUCGAGCGGAUGACGGGAGCUUGCUCCUUGAUUCAGCGGCGGACGGGUGAGUAAUGCCUAGGAAUCUGCCUGGUAGUGGGGGACAACGUUUCGAAAGGAACGCUAAUACCGCAUACGUCCUACGGGAGAAAGCAGGGGACCUUCGGGCCUUGCGCUAUCAGAUGAGCCUAGGUCGGAUUAGCUAGUUGGUGAGGUAAUGGCUCACCAAGGCGACGAUCCGUAACUGGUCUGAGAGGAUGAUCAGUCACACUGGAACUGAGACACGGUCCAGACUCCUACGGGAGGCAGCAGUGGGGAAUAUUGGACAAUGGGCGAAAGCCUGAUCCAGCCAUGCCGCGUGUGUGAAGAAGGUCUUCGGAUUGUAAAGCACUUUAAGUUGGGAGGAAGGGCAGUAAGCUAAUACCUUGCUGUUUUGACGUUACCGACAGAAUAAGCACCGGCUAACUCUGUGCCAGCAGCCGCGGUAAUACAGAGGGUGCAAGCGUUAAUCGGAAUUACUGGGCGUAAAGCGCGCGUAUGUGGUUCGUUAAGUUGGAUGUGAAAGCCCCGGGCUCAACCUGGGAACUGCAUCCAAAACUGGCGAGCUAGAGUACGGUAGAGGGUGGUGGAAUUU